Long non-coding RNA from Scleropages formosus (Asian bonytongue), 403 nucleotides. RefSeq lists it as uncharacterized. NCBI's taxonomy places the organism in Eukaryota, Metazoa, Chordata, Actinopteri, Osteoglossiformes, Osteoglossidae. The transcript has 4 exons. The record is from RefSeq and is a predicted model, not a curated record.
ACUAAUUUCAGAGCCCUGCUGCAAUGCUUCUGAUGCCAAAGGUUGCGUGAACUUCAACCUGACUGACUUCGCAACGGCUGCUUCAAAGUUUGAACACCUUUGCUCAAAAUAUUUCAAACUGGACUGGGCCGAGUUCAAAAAAGCGGUUCAGGGAGACAUGCAAAGUGAAGCCCCGGCGGCGGCGGAGGCGGCGAGCCAGAACCACGACGAAGCCAGGGCUCAGGUCUUGACAAAUUUCGCCUCAAGCUGCUGCUCCCGAUACGCACCGGCAAGGAAAUGCAAAAACAUGGUAGAAGAAAUGACGGUGUGCAAGAAGGACGACUGUUGAGUACCCGGAUGAUGUGACGCCCGACAGGUGGAAUGCAGCAGAGAUGGAAAGGGACAAAUACAUGCAGACACAAAC